GAUAAACGCUGGCGGCGUGCCUAAUACAUGCAAGUCGAGCGAACGGAAGAAGCGUCUUCGGACGAAUUGGAAGUGAGCGGCGAACGGGUGAGUAACACGUAGGUAACCUGCCCUUGAGAUAGGGAUAACAGUUGGAAACGACUGCUAAUACCGAAUAGGAACAGAUGAGGCAUCUCAUCGGUUUAAAAGGAGCUUUCGGGCUUCGCUUGAGGAUGGACCUGCGGCGCAUUAGCUAGUUGUGGGUAACGGCCUACCAAGGCGACGAUGCGUAGCCGACCUGAGAGGGUGAUCGGCCACACUGGGACUGAGACACGGUCCAGACUCCUACGGGAGGCAGCAGUGGGGAAUAUUGCACAAUGGGGAAACCCUGAUGCAGCCAUGCCGCGUGUGUGAAGAAGGCCUU
This 403-nucleotide ribosomal RNA is filed under the name uncultured bacterium. RNAcentral's name for it is "bacterial SSU rRNA". It matches the Rfam family "Bacterial small subunit ribosomal RNA", at positions 28 to 418 of the family's 1533-position model. The record is from RNAcentral.